ACGGUCCUACGUAUAUUAAACACAAUGAAGAUAAAGUAACAAAGAUAAAUAAUAUAACACUUUAACCGGAAACUUUAUUAAAACUUGAAAGGUGGCGUGUGUCGGUUGAUUCUUAACCUUCUUUUACAGCCGUUACAAAUAAUUAGAACAAAAGAAUUCUUUUGUUUAGCUGUUUCUAACGGCUUGAAGAAGAUUAUGAAUCGGCCGAAGAACGUUACCUUCCGGGUUAUUAAAGUUUCCUGUUUGUUCUGCUGUGUUGUUUAUCUUUCUGACUGUGUACAGCAGGUUGUCUGAACUUUGAAGAUAAAAUAUUGUCUGAGGAUUGUAAAUAAUCGAUGGAUAAAUUCAGCCAGACUCAUUAUCAAUUUUUCAAGUGUUACCUAUGGUUUUAAACUAUAUUUUUCAUCAGGAUCAUUGUUGCCUGUGUUCUUUGUAUCGAUACGAUACACAAUUGUGUUUUACGAUAAUUUACGUUUUAGACUUGCAUUUUAUCAGAUCAUACAAAUAUUGAGAAUUGGUAAGCAAUUUUAAAAUUUGCAUACUUAUUUUAUACACGUGGCUAGGACAUUUUCGUCCAAGAUAUGGAAACUCGUAUAUAUCGAUGGCUUAAUUUUAACAUUUUAUGGAGGUAAACAUGUCUUCUCGAGUAUGUUACACGUUAUAGAAAUAUCCAUUAUAUAGCAGGAUUAUUUAGCAAUUUAUCUCGUUUUUGAGUUAUGGAAAAUAUGGAUUUUGUUCCCUAGUGAUAAAUAUAGCCAGGAGAGUAAAGCACAUGCUCUACUUCGAAUCCGAUGGAGUUUAUAAAAGAAGAUAUUGCAGAGAGGGUUUUGAGAAUUAUAAAUUAUAAUGUGUGUGUGUGUGUGUGUGUGUGGUUCCUUUUUGAUGCAUCAGCUGCUAACAAUAACGUUAUUCUAAAUCGAUUGUUGAAUAUGAAAACACUUUUGAGGAAUAUGAUAGAUGAUGCUAUUUUUAGAAUUAUGAGGUGUAUUAUGUGGAUUUUUUUCCCCCAAUUUUAAUUUUUGGCCCUUUAUAGUAGAAGAUGGUUCGCUCUCCCAAACGUGUCAGAUGUACUUAGAAGUAAAGAAUCGAGCUUAACUAAAAGGAAGCAAAGCAUCAUUUCCCCGUUUUCCUAUAUCAUGUCGUAUCGAUUUUGUUGCUAGGUUCGAUUCCCGAUGCAGUUUCCUGUCUUAUAACUUUUUUUUUUUUUUUUUAUCGAGAAAGAGGAAAAAAAAAUUUCUUUCGGCAUGUUUCUGUUCUCAUGCCCUUUAAUAAUUGUUUGAGGAGGAUCUCCAGUAAGAUUCUCGAAAAUAUAAAAGUUAUUUACUUGGCAAGAUUGCAGUUUGUGGGUUGAAAGGUGGAUAAUUCAAAGGUGUGAAAGGAAAGGCGUUACAGAAAAAAAAUUGGGAAUAGAUAGGUGUUUCAAAGAGAGUGGAUGACUAUUUUCCUUUUCCUUCUGCUUUCUAACAGGAAUUUCUAUUUUAAAAUUCAUUUUAGUUAGAAUUUUAAAUAUUUUAACAAUAAAAUUAAAUCUCAGUAACCAUUACAAGUUUUAUAAUCGAUUCAGGACUAGAAUCGAUGCAUUCGCAAGUAAAUACGAAGUGCUAGCGAUUUAUAUUGUCGAAUGGUGAUUAUUAUGAUAAUCUUAGGAUUACCUUAUCGCUAAUAGCAUAAGAAUGAAUGGAGAUGGUGCAUAAAAUUCAUCAUUUCUAUAGCAACACGUCAAUAAGUGAUUAUUAUUUGCAGCACAGGUGCGAAUAGUAGUUUUAUUCAAAAGAAUGAACUUCUUUUAUUGCUACAAUAGCAGAUAUUCACUUCAAUAAAGCGACUAUAGAAUUACUAGUAGGGCAGCGAUGAAAGAGACCGUUAGCAUCACAAAUAUAUCCGAAAUAUUAAAGCGAAUGAAUUUUUUUUUUAUAUAUAUAUAUAUAUCCGUGAAGUUGCUUUUCAAUUUUACUCUUUUCUAUCAGUGCUAUAGUAAAAAAAACGUGAUUCUAUCUCACGAUUCUUUUUUUUUUCUCCUUUUU
Molecule: long non-coding RNA, 2024 nt
Filed under: Androctonus crassicauda
Lineage: Eukaryota; Metazoa; Arthropoda; Arachnida; Scorpiones; Buthidae
Source: RNAcentral